RNAcentral lists this ribosomal RNA (492 nucleotides) under uncultured bacterium. Its description in RNAcentral is "partial 16S ribosomal RNA". It matches the Rfam family "Bacterial small subunit ribosomal RNA", at positions 30 to 507 of the family's 1533-position model. The record is from RNAcentral.
AUUGAACGCUGGCGGCAUGCCUUACACAUGCAAGUCGAACGGAAACAGGCCUUCGUGUCCUGUCUAGUGUCGAACGGGUGCGUAAUGCAUCGGAACGUGCCCCGUGGCUGUGGAUAACGCAUCGCUACCUGUGCUCAUACCUCAUGUGAUCUGAGGUUGUAAACGGCGGACCACACAACAAUAUUUGGCCUCGCGCCUUUCGUGUAGCCGAUGUCGGAUUAGGUAGUUGGUGGGGUAAAGGCCUACCAAGCCGACGAUGUGUAGCGGAUCUGAGAGGAUGACCAGCCACACUGGAACUGAGACACGGCCCAGACUCCUACGGGAGGCAGCAGUGGGGAAUUUUGGACAAUGGGCGCAAGCCUGAUCCAGCAAUGCCGCGUGAGGGAAGAAGGCCUUCGGGUUGUAAAACGCUUUUGUAAGGAACGAAAAGGUGUUGGCUAAUACAUGGGGCUGAUGACGGUACCGAAAGAGAAAGCACCGGCUAACUACGUG